UUAAGAACAUAAUGCCCACAUUCCCAAGAGGUGAGACAUAUCUGCUCCUGGAAGUAUCAAUCUACUUCAGAGAAGAUGAUGGGCAUUGAAGAAACUCCAUAUGGAGUUUAUUUUCUUUGUGGAAAAAGUAAGUCACUGGACAAGAAAGUGCCCUUAUAUCGACUGCUGACAGUGUACUGUCCAAACGGACAAGCAGGACACAAAAGAAAGACCGCUGAACCUUGCUAAGAUAAGAUCUCAAGACAUGGACUCUGACUCAGAUCUGGCCAUUACCUGAAGCUGUGAGUUCAUAGCCUGGCUUAGGACAGCCAUCAGUCAGAAAUACUGCAGCAGUACAAGGGAUGCUACUCAUGCAGAAUUUCAGCACAACUUAAACCCAUCCAUUACUGAUAACUGCUAAGAAAUAUUUAGUGCCAUGGGGCUUAUAGCACAAUCUUCUGACAGAACAGGUUCUGAUAAUUUCCAAAAUUCUUAUGAUAAGUACAUUUAUACUUGUGCGGAACUUUUUUGCCCCCAGAUAUUUUUCCAAACCACAGCAAAUUAUGUUUGUAAGUCCAUUUAAAGUCUAGUUAACUAGUAUUUGAUUAGCUCUGCAUAGAUGACUAAUACCACUCUGAAUGCUUCUGAGUUAUCUUCUACAACCAUUAAUAUAGACUGAAUCAAGUGCUAUUUUAAUCUUUUUUGGCUUGUAUUAUUCUAUGUUCAUUAUAGGUUAACAGUGUCAGGUUUAGAUUUGUUGUAAAAUUCCAUAUCUGUGUGUGGAAAGCAAAUAUGAUGCCAUUUACUACAUAACUUUGUUUCAUUUUAAUAAAUAUUCUCUCUCUCUUUUUUGAGAAUUCUAUCCAUGAGCCCUAUGUUAACAUCAUUUCCAUCCCUCUCUCUCUCCACCUCCAACUCCCACUGAGUUUCCAUACCAUGCCUUCUCAGAUUCUCAAAUUCAUGACUUCUCCUAUAAUUAUUAUUGUUACACACACACACACACACACACACACACACACACACACACACACACAGAGUACUCAGUCCUUUGUGUUGCUUGUAUAUCUGUGUGUUUACAGCUAAUCACAUGGAAUUAGAUAACCUGCCAAAGAGAAUCCAUCCCUAUAGAAAACCAGUUCUCCCAUUCUUAGCAGCAUUGAUAGCCUUCAUCUAAGAGUGCCUUGUUAAAUUUUCUGCAUCCACAUUGCAUAUUGCUUUUCUUUAUCUAUAAUGCUCCCUUUCUCACAGAGUUUUUGUUUGUUUGUUUGUUUGUUAUUUGUUUUUUGGGUUUUUUUGUCAUUCUUAACAAUCAAACUCAAUGUCAUGCUAUUUCCUAGAAUUCUUGCCUAACUGCUCAGAUAAAACCAAACUACCGCCUAUGCUAAUUUAGAAGAUAUAUAUGGAAAGAGGAAAAUAGAGACAAACAUAUUAAAUCAAUUCUUCUCACCUAUCAUUAUAUGCAGUAGACUCUGUCUUCAAAAUAUGACUAAAAUUUUUGACGAAUCUAUCAUAUUGCAUCUUUAUGCAACAGUGGUCUAGACACCUUCCUUUUCAAGGAUUUUUGGAGCAGAAAUUAACUGUUCUCUCUUCAUCUUCUCUUCUCUUUGUGUAUUCUAUCCUUUACCUAUUAGGUUUCUGUCAUACCAAGCAAGAUCAUCAUGAUUGUUACUCAACUUGCCAUAACUUAGAAUCAUCUGAGAAGAGAGUGUCAAGUGAUAGUCUUUAUCGGGUUGAUUUGUAGACAUGUCUGUGGGUGAUUUUCUUGUUUGUUAAUUCAUGUGAGAAGUCCAACCCUUUCAUGUGUAUAACUAUUCCCUAGGCAAAUGAUCUUUCAAUAUAUAGGAUUGAAGAAAUAUAAAAGCAAGCAGACAUCA
Peromyscus maniculatus bairdii (prairie deer mouse) is the source of this 1853-nucleotide non-coding RNA. The record is from RefSeq and is a predicted model, not a curated record. Lineage: Eukaryota; Metazoa; Chordata; Mammalia; Rodentia; Cricetidae.